This 253-nucleotide ribosomal RNA is filed under the name uncultured bacterium. RNAcentral's name for it is "partial 16S ribosomal RNA". It matches the Rfam family "Bacterial small subunit ribosomal RNA", at positions 524 to 776 of the family's 1533-position model. The record is from RNAcentral.
UACGUAGGGUGCGAGCGUUGUCCGGAAUUAUUGGGCGUAAAGGGCUCGUAGGCGGUUUGUCGCGUCGGGAGUGAAAACCCAGGGCUUAACUCUGGGCUUGCUUCCGAUACGGGCAGGCUAGAGGCAUGCAGGGGAGAACGGAAUUCCUGGUGUAGCGGUGAAAUGCGCAGAUAUCAGGAGGAACACCGGUGGCGAAGGCGGUUCUCUGGGCAUGUCCUGACGCUGAGGAGCGAAAGUGUGGGGAGCGAACAGG